Molecule: ribosomal RNA, 253 nt
Filed under: uncultured bacterium
Lineage: Bacteria
Description: partial 16S ribosomal RNA
Rfam family: Bacterial small subunit ribosomal RNA
Source: RNAcentral
UACGGAGGGUGCAAGCGUUAAUCGGAAUUACUGGGCGUAAAGCGUGCGCAGGCGGUUUGUUAAGUCCGUUGUGAAAGCCCCGAGCUCAACUUGGGAAUUGCAGUGGAUACUGGCAGGCUGGAGUAUGGUAGAGGAAGGUGGAAUUCCCGGUGUAGCAGUGAAAUGCGUAGAGAUGUGGAGGAACACCAGUGGCGAAGGCGACUCUUUGGUCUGUAACUGACGCUGAGGCGCGAAAGCGUGGGGAGCAAACAGG